UCCUUACUGUGUGUUUUGGAGAGCUGCCAAAAUUUUGGCAUGGCGCCUUUAUUUUUAGCUCUCUAUUUUCAAAAUUUUGGAAUGGUGCUCAAAAACUUAACUCUCUAUUUCCAAAGAGAGCGUCGAUUAUCUUUUUCUCGCAGCUUAUCUGUAUUUCCUUUUCAGAAACAAAACCCUAGCAUCCAUCCUCCAUCCUGUAGUAGGCAUACGUGAUGAUGAUAGAAACCAUGAAAUCCUCACACAUGUUGUUUUUCAGUUUAUAUCUUAUAAGGUCUGACAUAUAUAUUUCGAGUCUCGCCUAAAUUUGAGAUUUAGAAGCAGAAAAUGAGAAGGCUAAGAGGAUGGUUAAGGACGUGGUAACCUACUUCUCCAUGACUUUGGGGGCUUUUGUGUUCUGGCAAUCCAUGGAUGAAGUCCACGUCUGGAUUGCUCUGCAUCAGGACCAAAAAGGUAAAAAUCUCUUCUUUCUCAUGCUGCAGGUGCAAUUUUUCUUUUAGAUUGGACUUAUAAUUUGAGUGAUUAGCAAUUUUUUUAGAGAAUUCGAUUGAAUUUCAUCACCUUAAGAGCAGAAUUGAGAGGCUUCUCAUCGAAUGGCUCAAUUAUGGUGGAAAAAUCCGAUUUUUAGGAAAUUGGCAUGAAAUUUGGUGGUAAGGAAUGGGGAGUUGGCGAUGCUGUAGAAUUGGGGAGGAAAUCAGGGGUGGGAGGAGAAAAACCAACCAGGUAUACCUCUGUUAUUUCGAUUAUUCAGUUGAAAGAUUGGAAUUUUUUGUUUAUGUUUGGCCAGCCUCUUAGUUUCAGCUAAACUUCUGCAGGAAAGCCGUUUAUGUGUUUACAAUUUUAGGUUUGUAGCUGAAAGUGGUGUUUUUUUGUUUACAUACAUCUUCGAUAAGAUUUUGUGUUAAAAGUGGCGACGGCGAACUCUGUGUGCGGAGAAAUUUUUAGUUGUGACGGGAACACAAGUGGUACAUCACGUGUUUUAAUAGGAGUGGUGAGAAAUUUUAUUUUUUAAGUUAUUAACUUUUUAGUACACAUAUCUCACAAUUUGUGUAGUAACACGUGGUAUACCACCCCGUGUACCGGUCACACCGAAAAAUCUCUCCUCUGUGCGGCUUAGACUAUAAUUAGAACAUUUCUGCUAUUGGUUCUCACUUUCGGUGUUUUGAUUUUUUCGUAGUGAAGGUGCCUAAGGAAAGGGUCAAGGAUAAGGAUGAGUGAGCAGAGAAUCCAAGCCUUUGUGACUUAUAUUCAAAUAUCUGCAAUGUGUCCGGCGGUAGACUGGUAAUAGUUUCAUGAUUAUUCAUUGAUGGUGUUAUUCUUUAUUUCAUAUCUGUUAUUUUUAAAGUUCUCCUUCUCUUUACCGGUUUUCAGGUUUUACUUGUGGAAUAAUAAAUGACAAGGAGCUUGAGGUACCUCAUAACUUUUUUUCAUUUAUAGUAUGCAUAUUUUUUAACAUGCCUUUGCAUUUGUUUAUUAUAAGUGUUCUCAUUGUCACAGAAUUACUCAUUGUUAAUAGUCCCUCUACUACUGUCUCCUUUAAAUUUUAUAACUUGUUGAUUUGGGCAGUUACUUGUGCAUUUGCCUUAAAGGAUUUAUUUUUGCAGACCUGAUUGGCUUUAGCUCUGUUGGGGAGUUUUUCUGUACCACUUUCACUGGGAGGAAAAAUGGCUGCCAUGAAAUUGUGAUCUAAAAUUGAUGCUUUCCAUAGACAAGGAUAUGAGACAAGGACAGGCCUGGCAAGCAACCUAUCAUCUUUAAUUUGACAUUUGUUUUCACAGAUACACACAUAUAUAUUCUUUGAAUUGUUCUGAUAUUGGUAUCCUAAUUAAACUUGUGGUUGUGUGGUUUUGGUGUAGUGAGAUAUGAGGAGUGAUCAAGGAGCUACAUAAACUGUAGCAAGCUGCAUGAAGUAGUGAGAUACAUGAAGGAGCUAUAUGAAUGAGUGAUGAAAAAGCUAUAUGAAGGAGUGAUUAAGGAGCUACAUACACUGUAUGUACAAAAGGGAAGAUGCUUUUACCUACACGUCUUCAAAAGAAUUCAAGUUUGCAUUUUCGAAGUUUUAGGACUAGUGUUAAUAUGUUCAAACACAUAUCUUAGGUUUGUAAUAAAUGUAUUGGCUUUACCAUAUUGAUCUUAUAUACAUUAGUUUUUAUUAAUGAUAAUACAAAAUAUUCUUUAAACAAUGCUCAGUGAAAUUUUUACCAAAAAGCAUAUAUUUCUUGCCUCAAUUUCCAUUGGAAAUGUCUAUUAUUAUUUUUUUUCUGAUGAAAAUAAUAUUUGUGACACACUAUAGUAGCAGUUAAGGGUUGAAAAUUGUAAUUGCAACGAUUGUGUACUCACAAAUAAAAGUUAUUUUGUUGGAAAAAAAUUUCUGACACAAUUAUUUGGUCAGAACAACAUCAUCGCAAAAAACAUGUCUUUUGGAAAGUAAUUUCGACAACUAUAUAAUUAUUUACUACCACAUUUCCAUGUCAAAAAUAAAAUAAGUUUGUCAUUUUGAAAAUUCAUUUCCGAUGAAAAGCUAACUACUAACGACAAGUCUUGUGCGUCGAUAAUAAAGUAUU
This 2561-nucleotide long non-coding RNA is filed under the name Malus domestica (apple). RNAcentral describes it as "long non-coding RNA (MDOM_LNC015480)". Lineage: Eukaryota; Viridiplantae; Streptophyta; Magnoliopsida; Rosales; Rosaceae. The record is from RNAcentral.